ACAGCAUUCAACUUCCAGCUAAGCCUCGAUUUAUUACCAAAAAGGCAUGCAGCUGAAAGCGAUCCUGGUGGGGUUGGCCAUUCUUGGUCUCAUUGUGGCAGAGGGAGGCGCCAUGCCGGCCAGCAGCUCCAGCGAAGCCGAAGCUAGGGUUGAUCCCGAGACUGCUGAGCGUGCCGAGCAGAGCAACGCCGAGGAGGCACGUAUCAGCGAGGGAUGCCUGGCAUCCCUGUGCGGGUAGUAACCUGAUGCAAGACAGUGACACGUUCGAAAGAUCAUCUCUCGCAAGAGUAUCACGAAUGCUUCAAAAGAAAAUACCGGCACUGUCCAGCGCUCCACAUCAUCUUCCAGUCGCGAAUAUUGGCGCUUGUUGAUCGCUGGUGCAUGUGCUCUUGUUCUAAAAGCUACAAUAAAAUAUGAGACCUUGAA
Molecule: long non-coding RNA, 426 nt
Organism: Dermacentor andersoni
Lineage: Eukaryota; Metazoa; Arthropoda; Arachnida; Ixodida; Ixodidae
Source: RefSeq, a predicted model, not a curated record